GGUGAUCUACCCAUGUCCAGGAUGAAGGUAAGGUAAUACUUACUGGAGGUCCGAACCCACGCACGUUGAAAAGUGCGGGGAUGAGGUGUGGGUAGCGGAGAAAUUCCAAUCGAACUUGGAGAUAGCUGGUUCUCUCCGAAAUAGCUUUAGGGCUAGCCUCGAGGUAAAGAGUCAUGGAGGUAGAGCACUGUUUGGACUAGGGGCCCUUCUCGGGUUACCGAAUUCAGAUAAACUCCGAAUGCCAUGUACUUAUACUCGGGAGUCAGACUGCGAGUGAUAAGAUCCGUAGUCGAAAGGGAAACAGCCCAGACCACCAGUUAAGGUCCCCAAAUAUAUGUUAAGUGGAAAAGGAUGUGGGGUUGCUUAGACAACCAGGAUGUUGGCUUAGAAGCAGCCACCAUUGAAAGAGUGCGUAAUAGCUCACUGGUCGAGUGACCCCGCGCCGAAAAUGUACCGGGGCUAAACAUAUUACCGAAACUGUGGAUGAACCUCUUUAGAGGUUCGUGGUAGGAGAGCGUUCUAAGGGCGGUGAAGUCAGACCGGAAGGACUGGUGGAGCGCUUAGAAGUGAGAAUGCCGGUAUGAGUAGCGAAAGAAGGGUGAGAAUCCCUUCCACCGAAUAUCUAAGGUUUCCUGAGGAAGGCUCGUCCGCUCAGGGUUAGUCGGGACCUAAGCCGAGGCCGAUAGGCGUAGGCGAUGGACAACAGGUAGAGAUUCCUGUACCAGUGCUAAUUGUUUAACCGAUGGGGUGACACAGAAGGAUAGGGAAUCGCACGAAUGGAAAUGUGCGUCCAAGCAGUGAGUGUGAGAAGUAGGCAAAUCCGCUUCUCGCGAAGCAUGAGCUGUGAUGGGGAAGGAAAUUAAGUACGGAAGUUCCUGAUUUCACGCUGUCAAGAAAAGCCUCUAGGAAGAGUAGUACUGCCCGUACCGCAAACCGACACAGGUAGAUGAGGAGAGAAUCCUAAGGUGAGCGAGAGAACUCUCGUUAAGGAACUCGGCAAAAUGACCCCGUAACUUCGGGAGAAGGGGUGCUCUAUUAGGGUGCAAGCCCGAGAGAGCCGCAGUGAAUAGGCCCAGGCGACUGUUUAGCAAAAACACAGGUCUCUGCAAAACCGUAAGGUGACGUAUAGGGGCUGACGCCUGCCCGGUGCUGGAAGGUUAAGAGGAGUGCUUAGCUUCGGCGAAGGUACGAAUUGAAGCCCCAGUAAACGGCGGCCGUAACUAUAACGGUCCUAAGGUAGCGAAAUUCCUUGUCGGGUAAGUUCCGACCCGCACGAAAGGCGCAACGAUCUGGGCACUGUCUCAACGAGAGACUCGGUGAAAUUAUAGUACCUGUGAAGAUGCAGGUUACCCGCGACAGGACGGAAAGACCCCGUGGAGCUUUACUGCAACCUGAUAUGGAAUGUUUGUACCGCUUGUACAGGAUAGGUAGGAGCCGAAGAGACGUGUGCGCUAGCAUACGAGGAGGCAAUGGUGGGAUACUACCCUGGCUGUAUGACCAUUCUAACCCGCCACGCUUAGCGCGUGGGGAGACAGUGUCAGGUGGGCAGUUUGACUGGGGCGGUCGCCUCCUAAAGAGUAACGGAGGCGCCCAAAGGUUCCCUCAGAAUGGAUGGAAAUCAUUCGCAGAGUGUAAAGGCACAAGGGAGCUUGACUGCGAGACUGACAAGUCGAGCAGGGACGAAAGUCGGGCUUAGUGAUCCGGUGGUUCCGCAUGGAAGGGCCAUCGCUCAACGGAUAAAAGCUACCCCGGGGAUAACAGGCUUAUCUCCCCCAAGAGUCCACAUCGACGGGGAGGUUUGGCACCUCGAUGUCGGCUCGUCGCAUCCUGGGGCUGUAGUCGGUCCCAAGGGUUGGGCUGUUCGCCCAUUAAAGCGGCACGCGAGCUGGGUUCAGAACGUCGUGAGA
Molecule: ribosomal RNA, 1907 nt
Filed under: Listeria monocytogenes
Lineage: Bacteria; Bacillati; Bacillota; Bacilli; Caryophanales; Listeriaceae
Description: partial 23S ribosomal RNA
Rfam family: Bacterial large subunit ribosomal RNA
Source: RNAcentral